RNAcentral lists this ribosomal RNA (399 nucleotides) under Triticum aestivum (bread wheat). RNAcentral's name for it is "partial small subunit ribosomal RNA". Lineage: Eukaryota; Viridiplantae; Streptophyta; Magnoliopsida; Poales; Poaceae. The record is from RNAcentral.
AUGCAGAUCUUCGUGAAGACGCUGACGGGGAAGACCAUCACCCUAGAGGUGGAGAGCAGCGACACGGUCGACAACGUCAAGGCCAAGAUCCAGGACAAGGAAGGCAUCCCUCCGGACCAGCAGCGCCUCAUCUUCGCGGGGAAGCAGCUGGACGAUGGCCGCACCCUGGCCGACUACAACAUCCAGAAGGAGUCCACGCUGCACCUUGUGCUUCGCCUCCGCGGGGGCACCAGGAUCGAGCCCAGCCUCAAGGAACUCGCUCAGAAGUACAACCAGAAGAAACUGAUCUGCCGCAAGUGCUAUUCACGCCUGCCGCUCAGGGCUACGAAUUGCCGCAAGAAGAAAUGUGGCCACAGCAACCAGCUACGGCUAAAGUCGAAAAGGCGUUGGUUCUGUUGA